GAUGAACGCUGGCGGCGUGCCUAAUACAUGCAAGUCGAGCGAACAGACGCUGAGCUUGCUGCUCUGACGUGAGCGGCGGACGGGUGUGUAACACGUGGAAAACCUACUUAUAUGACUGGGAUAACCUCGGGAAACCGGAGCUAACACCAGAUAAUAUAUUGAACCGCAGGGGUCAAUAGUGAAAGACGGCUUUGCUGUCACUUAUAGCUGGAUCCGCGCCGCAUGGGCUGGUUGUGAAGGUAACGGCUUAUCAAGGGAACCAUGCGUAGCCGACGUGCGGGGGUGAUAGGCGACACUGGAAGGGAGACGCGGACAAUGCGCCUGCGGGAGGCCGCAGUAGCGAAUCUUACGCAGUGGGCGAGAGCUUGACGGAGCAACGGCGCGUGAGUGACGAAAGUCUUCGGAUCGUAAAACUCUGUUAUGGGGGGAGAACAAAUGUGUAAGUAACUAAGCACGUCUUGACGGUACCUGAUCAGAAAGCCACGGCUAACUACGUG
This 497-nucleotide ribosomal RNA is filed under the name uncultured bacterium. Its description in RNAcentral is "partial 16S ribosomal RNA". It matches the Rfam family "Bacterial small subunit ribosomal RNA", at positions 28 to 507 of the family's 1533-position model. The record is from RNAcentral.